UACGUAGGUGGCAAGCGUUGUCCGGAUUUACUGGGCGUAAAGAGCGCGCAGGCGGUCGUAUAAGUCGAAUGUGAAAGCCCCCGGCUCAACUGGGGAGGGUCAUUCGAUACUGUUCGACUCGAAGGCAGGAGAGGGAAGUGGAAUUCCCGGUGUAGUGGUGAAAUGCGUAGAUAUCGGGAGGAACACCAGUGGCGAAGGCGACUUCCUGGCCUGUUCUUGACGCUGAGGCGCGAAAGCUAGGGGAGCAAACGGG
RNAcentral lists this ribosomal RNA (253 nucleotides) under uncultured bacterium. RNAcentral's name for it is "partial 16S ribosomal RNA". It matches the Rfam family "Bacterial small subunit ribosomal RNA", at positions 524 to 776 of the family's 1533-position model. The record is from RNAcentral.